RNAcentral lists this ribosomal RNA (334 nucleotides) under uncultured eukaryote. RNAcentral's name for it is "partial 18S ribosomal RNA". It matches the Rfam family "Eukaryotic small subunit ribosomal RNA", at positions 1470 to 1796 of the family's 1831-position model. The record is from RNAcentral.
CCCUUAGAUGUCCGGGGCCGCACGCGCGCUACACUGAAGGAAUCAGCGUGGCUUUCUCCCUGACCCGAAAGGGUUGGGAAACCCGUUGAAUCUCCUUCGUGAUAGGGAUUGGGGCUUGAAAUUGUUCCCCAUGAACGAGGAAUUCCUAGUAAGCGCAAGUCAGCAGCUUGCGUUGAUUACGUCCCUGCCCUUUGUACACACCGCCCGUCGCUACUACCGAUUGAAUGGUUUAGUGAGAUCUUCGGAUUGGCGCCACUGCGGCUCAGCAAUGGGCUCGGUGGAUGCCGAAAAGUUGAUCAAACUUGAUCAUUUAGAGGAAGUAAAAGUCGUAACA